This 473-nucleotide ribosomal RNA is filed under the name uncultured bacterium. RNAcentral describes it as "bacterial SSU rRNA". It matches the Rfam family "Bacterial small subunit ribosomal RNA", at positions 335 to 801 of the family's 1533-position model. The record is from RNAcentral.
ACUCCUACGGGAGGCAGCAGUAGGGAAUCUUCCACAAUGGGCGCAAGCCUGAUGGAGCAACACCGCGUGAGUGAAGAAGGGUUUCGGCUCGUAAAGCUCUGUUGUUAAAGAAGAACACGUAUGAGAGUAACUGUUCAUACGUUGACGGUAUUUAACCAGAAAGUCACGGCUAACUACGUGCCAGCAGCCGCGGUAAUACGUAGGUGGCAAGCGUUAUCCGGAUUUAUUGGGCGUAAAGAGAGUGCAGGCGGUUUUCUAAGUCUGAUGUGAAAGCCUUCGGCUUAACCGGAGAAGUGCAUCGGAAACUGGAUAACUUGAGUGCAGAAGAGGGUAGUGGAACUCCAUGUGUAGCGGUGGAAUGCGUAGAUAUAUGGAAGAACACCAGUGGCGAAGGCGGCUACCUGGUCUGCAACUGACGCUGAGACUCGAAAGCAUGGGUAGCGAACAGGAUUAGAUACCCUGGUAGGAUAGCG